GUUCAAGGGGUCUAGUGGUUCCGAUCCCCACCUUUCAUUUUUCAUUGUGUCGUGGGCGACCGAGGUUCGAGUCCUCGCCUGUGCC
Non-coding RNA from Mycena galericulata, 85 nucleotides. NCBI's taxonomy places the organism in Eukaryota, Fungi, Basidiomycota, Agaricomycetes, Agaricales, Mycenaceae. The record is from the annotation of a GenBank genome assembly.